This 440-nucleotide ribosomal RNA is filed under the name uncultured bacterium. RNAcentral describes it as "partial 16S ribosomal RNA". It matches the Rfam family "Bacterial small subunit ribosomal RNA", at positions 338 to 795 of the family's 1533-position model. The record is from RNAcentral.
CCUACGGGGGGCAGCAGUAGGGAAUAUUGCUCAAUGGGGGAAACCCUGAAGCAGCAACGCCGCGUGGAGGAUGAAGGUUUUCGGAUUGUAAACUCCUGUUGGUAGAGAAGAAAAUGACGGUAUCUAACGAAUAAGAACCGGAUAACUCCGUGCCCGCAGGCGCGGUAAGACGGAGGGUGCAAGCGUUAGGCGGAAUAACGGGGCGUAAAGAGCGCGGAGGCGGGAUAGCUAGUCCGAUGUGUAAUCCUCUGGCUUAACCCUCGAACUGCAUUUGAAACUGUUAUUCUAGAGUAUGGGAGAGGUAGGUGGCAUUCUUGGUGUAGCGGUUAAAUCCGUAGAUAUCACGAGGAAUACUCAUUGCGAAGGCGACCUGCUAGAUCAUAACUGACGCUGAUGCGCGAAAGCGUGGGGAGCAAACAGGAUUAGCUACCCUUGUAGUC